AUUGAACGCUGGCGGCAUGGCUUACACAUGCAAGUCGAACGGCAGCACGGGAGCAAUCCUGGUGGCGAGUGGCGAACGGGUGAGUAAAGUAUCGGAACGUGCCCAGUCGUGGGGGAUAACGUAGCGAAAGUUACGCUAAUACCGCAUACGAUCUAUGGAUGAAAGCGGGGGAUCGCAAGACCUCGCGCGAUUGGAGCGGCCGAUAUCAGAUUAGGUAGUUGGUGGGGUAAAGGCUCACCAAGCCGACGAUCUGUAGCUGGUACGAGAGGACGACCAGCCACACUGGGACUGAGACACGGCCCAGACUCCUACGGGAGGCAGAAGUGGGGAAUUUUGGACAAUGGGCGCAAGCCUGAUCCAGCCAUGCCGCGUGCAGGAUGAAGGCCUUCGGGUUGUAAACUGCUUUUGUACGGAACGAAAAGGUUUGACUUAAUACGUUGGACUCAUGACGGUACCGUAAGAAUAAGCACCGGCUAACUACGUGCCAGCCGCCGCCGUAA
Molecule: ribosomal RNA, 500 nt
Filed under: uncultured bacterium
Lineage: Bacteria
Description: partial 16S ribosomal RNA
Rfam family: Bacterial small subunit ribosomal RNA
Source: RNAcentral